RNAcentral lists this ribosomal RNA (497 nucleotides) under uncultured bacterium. RNAcentral's name for it is "partial 16S ribosomal RNA". It matches the Rfam family "Bacterial small subunit ribosomal RNA", at positions 28 to 507 of the family's 1533-position model. The record is from RNAcentral.
GAUGAACGCUGGCGGCGUGCCUAAUACAUGCAAGUCGAGCGAACAGAUGAGGAGCUUGCUCCUCUGACGUUAGCGGCGGACGGGUGAGUAACACGUGGAUAACCUACCUAUAAGACUGGGAUCACUUCGGGACACCGGAGCUAAUACCGGAUAAUAUAUUGAACCGCAUGGUUCAAUAGUGAAAGACGGUUUUGCUGUCACUUAUAGCUGGAUCCGCGCCGCAUUAGCUAGUUGGUAAGGUAACGGCUUACCAAGGCAACGAUGCGUAGCCGACCUGAGAGAGUGAUCGGCCACACUGGAAGUGGGACACGGUCAAGACUCCUACGGGAGGCAGCAGUAGGGAAUCUUCCGCAAUGGGCGAAAGCCUGACGGAGCAACGCCGCGUGAGUGAUGAAGGUCUUCGGAUCGUAAAACUCUGUUAUUAGGGAAGAACAAAUGUGUAAGUAACUAUGCACGUCUUGACGGUACCUAAUCAGAAAGCCACGGCUAACUACGUG